This 492-nucleotide ribosomal RNA is filed under the name uncultured bacterium. RNAcentral's name for it is "partial 16S ribosomal RNA". It matches the Rfam family "Bacterial small subunit ribosomal RNA", at positions 29 to 507 of the family's 1533-position model. The record is from RNAcentral.
AGUGAACGCUGGCGGUAGGCCUAACACAUGCAAGUCGAACGGCAGCACAGUAAGAGCUUGCUCUUACGGGUGGCGAGUGGCGGACGGGUGAGGAAUACAUCGGAAUCUACUUUUUCGUGGGGGAUAACGUAGGGAAACUUACGCUAAUACCGCAUACGACCUACGGGUGAAAGCAGGGGAUCUUCGGACCUUUCGCGAUUGAAUGAGCCGAUGUCGGAUUAGCUAGUUGGCGGGGUAAAGGCCCACCAAGGCGACGAUCCGUAGCUGGUCUGAGCGGAUGAUCAGCCACACUGGAACUGAGACACGGUCCAGACUCCGACGGGAGGCAGCAGUGGGGAAUAUUGGGCAAUGGGCGAAAGCCUGAUCCAGCCAUACCGCGUGGGUGAAGAAGGCCUUCGGGUUGUAAAGCCCUUUUGUUGGGAAAGAAAAGCAGCAGGUUAAUACCCCGCUGUUCUGACGGUACCCAAAGAAUAAGCACCGGCUAACUUCGUG